This 30-nucleotide transfer RNA is filed under the name Rattus norvegicus (Norway rat). RNAcentral describes it as "partial tRNA-Tyr". The record is from RNAcentral. Lineage: Eukaryota; Metazoa; Chordata; Mammalia; Rodentia; Muridae.
AGGUAAAAUGGCUGAGUAAGCCAUUAGACA